UACGUAGGGUGCAAGCGUUGUCCGGAAUUAUUGGGCGUAAAGAGCUCGUAGGCGGUGUGUCGCGUCGGCCGUGAAAACCUGCAGCUUAACUGUGGGCUUGCGGUCGAUACGGGCAUCACUGGAGUUCGGCAGGGGAGACUGGAAUUCCUGGUGUAGCGGUGAAAUGCGUAGAGAUCCGGAGGAACACCAGUGGCGAAGGCGGCCCCCUGGGCCGCGCCUGACGCUGAGACGCGAAAGCGCGGGGAGCGAACGGG
RNAcentral lists this ribosomal RNA (254 nucleotides) under uncultured bacterium. Its description in RNAcentral is "partial 16S ribosomal RNA". It matches the Rfam family "Bacterial small subunit ribosomal RNA", at positions 524 to 776 of the family's 1533-position model. The record is from RNAcentral.